UGUGUAAGCAGCACUCUGGUUUGGACUCCAUGCAGAAAAGAACUGGUAGGGUUACCAGCAUAGUAAGACCCUGACAUACCUGGUCAAUUCUUGGUUUGGAAUCCCUCCAGAAAGCAAACAUAUGUUGGAGCUACUCGAUAGUUACUGAUGACCUUUCUGUCAUUUAAAAUGAUGAAACAAUGAUAUAAAGCAAAAACAGGUCUCUUGGUUCUAGAUGACUUUAGAAAGGAAGCUACAACUUCCCCAGAGCUUCUACCAGAUACCAGAAAUCCAUGGAGAAAAACCGAAACCAUCCAGCAUUUCCAAAAAGAAAGUCAGCCCAGAGAGAGGAGAAAGCAGAUGUCUGUAUAGCACCAACCACAGCACAGCACAGAGGCCAGACACCAAAAAAAAAAAAAAAACCCAGCAGAAAAACAAACAAGGCAAAACCACUGCCUUAGGGACAGGUCUAAUGCAGUAUUCACACAAAUGAACUUUUUCUGCGAGACAGUUGACCUACAGAAGAAUAUCAUUAAUUUGCUUACAGAUAUUCUAUUCUACAAAUAUAUGGGUAUUUGUUGUAAGAUCAAUGCUUAUCAUGUACCUGAAAAUUUCAAAUGGUAUUUGUACAAUAUGUAACUUGCAAUUAUUUUAUUGGAAUUGUUCCAUGUUACCUAAAUUUAAUCAAAUAACAAAUUGUGCAGUUGGGAAUGUUAUAACAGUACAUCGGGUACUGUUCAAUUGCAGCAGAAAUUGUUUAUAUUAUCCAAAAUGUGUGUUAUGAUGUUGUGGUGCUAAUAUUCUAAUAGGAAAAGAAGACAAGAACCUUAAUGCUUACAAAGUGAAGAUGGGAUUGACUCUCCCCUUGCCUUUUAAAUUUAAUCAACCAAAAGUGAAGACACCCCUUCUUAACAUUAAGUAGGGGAGGUUCAUAAACCACUUACUAAAGUGAGUAACACCUCCAGAAGUGACUGACUGCCCUAUGGGCAGUGCUAAGCAAAUUUAAAGACUGCAAUUGGUCCCUGUAAAGUGAAGGAAGGGAUAGGAAGUGACAUAAAGAAAGGUCCAUAAAAAGGACCUAAACUUCCUUUUAGGGGGUCUUUGGUCUUCUGUAUUUGUCCUGAUUUUUGGGUUGAAGGAGCUUGGACUUGGACUGUGGCUCUUGGACUGCUCCUGGAUCUCCUCCCUUUGGACUUCAGCCUAGUGAGUGAAAAGCUGAUCUUCCUUUCCUGGCUUAUAGAGAGAUUAUUUCUGGAGAGGCCUCCCCUUCCUGGAGAAGGCCAUGUGGGUUGAACCCUUGCUUAAUUCACCACCAAGUUCUCUGGCUGAGGGAUUAACGGGCCCUGUGUGGGUUGAGCCAGGGACUAGAGCAUCAUUUAGGGUGAUAAGCUAGACUUCUUAUUUGACCCUCUUUCACAUUUCUCUACGUUCACUCUCUCCACCUUCUUUGUAAAUAAAAGCUGUUAAAAGUCAUUUUGACUUGGUCCA
RNAcentral lists this long non-coding RNA (1467 nucleotides) under Monodelphis domestica (gray short-tailed opossum). Its description in RNAcentral is "lncRNA (ENSMODG00000031887.2)". The record is from RNAcentral. Lineage: Eukaryota; Metazoa; Chordata; Mammalia; Didelphimorphia; Didelphidae.